GCCCGCCCCUCACUCGCUCAGCGGGCGCGGCUUUGGCGGCUCCGUGGUGCUGUUCGGCAGUGCCAGGUGGAAGGCACGGGCUGAGCGGUUUGGUACCGAAGGGUUUUGUUAACAGCCCAAUCCACCCGUGUGGACAGAUGGGUGUGAUAAUUUCACGGGGCGAAGGGACAUUGGGACGUUGGAGCGCGUCCAAAGAAGGGCAACAGAGCUGGGAAAGGGUCUGAAGCACAAGUCCCAUGAGGAUCAGCUGAGGGAGCUGGGAUUGUUCAUCCUGGAGAAAAGGAGGCUGGGGCUGCCUUUGUCAUUCCCUACAACUCCCUGACAGGAGGGUGAAGCCGUGUGCGGGUCGGGCUCUGCUCCUGGCUCACCUGCCACAGGGGGAGAGGACAUGGCCUCAAGAUGACAGCUGUGCUGAAACCAUUCCUUGGGAUUUCUCACCCGCUGGGUGAGAAAAACAGUGAUGCCUGAAGCCUUCAGGAGCCAUCCUGCAUGGUGCCUCCAAUGGAAAUCCUGCUUUAACAACUCAUACACUGAGAAGAGCACCAACAGCCACAACAGAUUGCAUUCCUGGUCCUCAAGGAAAGAAAAAAGAGAUAAUCCACAACAUUCUGCUAUAGAAAUGGCUCAUUCCCAGGCAUGGGGAAGCAUUUAUUUGAUCAAGCAGUACUAACACUUCUGUAGGAAGAGAAGAAACAGAACGUGUUUCCACACACGCACCAUCCCAGGAAACUGUCAAGUGCAAAUAAGCAGCAAGAUAAGGUAUUCCACAGUCACCUCACCAAUCUGUCCCCUGCACUGGAUUUUUUAACUUUAUAAAGACAUUUUGUAGAAAACUGUGUAAGAGAACAAGAAAUAUCAGGAGUAACAGGCACUUCUCAUUGUUAGGUAUUCCCCAACAUGAAAAAAUUGCUUCAUCAUUACUAAAUUUAUUCCACCUUUUUUUUUUUCCAUUUUGGAGAACUAAGAGUCUUCAGGAUCUGGCUUUUGUUCUUCACAGGAGGAGGCACUGAACAUGACUGACAUCAGGAGCAAUCCAUCCACUGAAAACUUAGAUAAAUGUGUGGGUCAGAACAUCUUCCUGCUGCUUGUUGUGGAGAGUUCCAAUGCCAACUGCUGGGGCUGGUAGAGGAGGUCUGCUCACAAGACGGAGCUGAAAUUUGAGUUGUGAAAAAAUAAUUAAUGAAGGACAGAAUCACAUCUCGAGGUCAUGUGAUGCCACAGUGAUAUCUGCUGUCAGAUAACUGGGCAGUCCCAGCUGGAAGUAAUGCAGGAAGUUAUCCCCCAUCUCCUAAAGACCAUGGCUCCAAGGACUUUGUAGUGCAUGAUCUGCCAGAACAAAUGGCACCUUGGCAUUCUCCUCCUACUCCCCUACUUGGGAUCUUUCAUUAUCCUGUCUACUUUGACUGAACACUAUAUGAAAUAAAGCUCCAGUCCUGCUCUUCACCAAUAGUGCUACAAAGAGCAGAAGUAGCUGAAAUUAGAACACACAUUUGGUUUAGGAAUCAAGAUUAGGUUCUUUGUUAAGCAAUUCAAGGAGAAUUUCAAACUUCAUUUUAAAGACUAAAACACCCUGGGGACAUCUUACCUUAAGCCCCAGCUGCUUUUCAAACCGUGGAGACACAAAGGACCAUGGACCCAUGUUCUGUGGCUCUUCCUGACUCCAGAUGAAGACUAAAGGAAGGAUAAGGGUACAUAACAAACAUUCAUAUUUAUCUUUUCAGCAGAGAAAGAAAAACAGUUUUUUGUUUUUGUAGCACCUCUAGUUUUUUUUUUUGUCUUGGCACUAUCUUUGAAAUGAAGGCAUGCCAGACUUAAUUCCCUUGCAGCUCAGAACUGAAUUCAAACCCAAAGUAUGUCCACCAUUAGGGUAUACUAUGUGUAUAUUCUACUUUUCCACUGCUGGUUUCAAAAGCUACUAAAAUAACUGGACUGCAAAGGCCAAUACAAAAAAUAUCUCAAAUGAUUUGCUCUGAUUUUCAGUGCUGCUUCUUGGAAGCUAACAAUAGCAGAGAAAAGAGUUCUUUUAACACAAGUGAUAAACAUUUCUGAAACAUCCCACUCCAGAAACACUUGGAUGUAUGAGGGGGAGAACAAAGAGGAAAAAGCCACUACAGCUCUUCAUCUUAAAAGGCAACAGAUUUAGUUCAGUACUUCAAAUAGACUAGAAACACAAAGGUAGAAGCUUGGCUGACCUUUUGCAUGGCUGUACUUGCUCAGCUCUUGCUGUAGAGCUUCCAGGGGGAAAGGACAGAGCUCUUCAAGUCUCAGAAUAGCUGUGCUGUGCUGCUUCUCUCCCAGUGUUUCUCUUUGCUUCAUCAGAGCAUAGUAAUGCUUUCCAGAACACAGGACCACUUGGGUGACACUAAAAAAAGUAAAAAAGAAUGUUUCCCAGUUUAGUGUUUUACAGAAACUUGAUUAAGAACAGCUGGAAGAACACUUCUAACCAAAAAAAAAACCAGUCAAACUUCAAAGACAACUUCACAGAGCUAAAUUGCUUCCCUAGACCAUCUUUUCUCUUCCUUGCCUUCCCUUCCCUCCCACUCCUUCCAACAGCUGGCAAACUAACCUUUGAGCACAGUAUGACAGAGGUCCUGUUUCUUCAGUAAUUUUGGGAAGGUUACCUUACAGUGGGAUUGAUCUCUUUUAGCUCUGACUAUUAAAAAUUAAACCCAGUCAAAGCUAGUCAUCUCUGCACUCCGUAGAAAAUAAUCCAGAGGGAGAGAAGUCCCUCCAGAGGACAAUUCUCUGCCAUGCCAAAGCAGGACUGCCUGCUGGAGAGACACUACACCCUCCUGCAGUCACAGAGGUCUUGGCUGCCUAAUCUUACUGGAAAAAGCAACGAGAUAAACUAUACCCUUUGUGCCUCACUAUCCCACUUAAAAAACCCAGCAUGCUAAGGUACUUCCAGCCUUUUGAUGGGGGUCAGGAAGUGAAGAGAAGGGAGGCUCAGUCUUGGGUACUACUGGGGCAAGCAGCAGAUAAGGGAAAAAAUAUUAAGGCUGAAUUGGUCGUUGUGAACAGGAUUCACUGUAACAUCUGAAAGUACAGAGAUGUACACACAUUUUGUUACAGCCCCACCUCAUCAGCUCAGGCAUUCCAGCACCAGAACAAAAAUUCUGGAUUCAUUUUUGGGCCAGUCAUGACAAGAAAGACAUUAAGGAGCUGGAGCCCAUCCAGAGAAGGGAAUGGAGCUGGUGAAGGGUCUGGAGCACAAGUCCUCUGAGAAGCAGCUGAGGGGCCUCAGCCUGGGGAAAAGGAAGCUCAGGAGGUGCCUUUUCACUCUCUGCAACUGCCUGACAGGUCACAGCCAGAUCAGAGUUUGUCUCUUCUCUCAGGUAACACACAAUAGGACAAGAGGAAUCAGCUUCAAGUUGCAUCAGAGGAGGUUUACAUUGGAUGUUAGGAAAAAUUUCUUCACUGAAAGGGUCAAGCACUUGAACAGGCCUCCCAGGGCAGUGGUGGAGUCACCAUCUUGGAGGUAUUUAAAUGUCUAGAUGUGACACUUGGGACAUGGGUUAGUGGUGGACUUGGCAGCACUGGGCUAAGACUGGAUUUGAUGAUUUAAAGGGUCUUUUCCGUCCUAAACAAAUCUAUGAUUCUAUGAUUUGUGUCACAGCUGCUCCAGUGGCUGUCAGCUAAUGGACAUGGUGCAAAAUAGGCCCCAUCAGGUUGGUAACUACAGUCACAGACUCUCUGUGAGGCCAAGGGGUGACAGCCUAAACACUUCACUGCUUUGCAGACAGAUGUGGUAACUACCAACAGUUACCCGAGGAAAAGGAGAAGAAGUAAAACUAACCACAGUCAUCUACCAUAAAACAUUUUCCCCUCAAAGUCACCUCUUUCAUAUCACCUCAAAUUUGAGCUGUUGGGUAGGAGAAAGGGACAGGACAUCUCUUUUGAGCUUCUCCUCUAAGAAAGCAAAGCUACCUUUUAGGAUUUACUGAGGAGUCACCAAUGACAGGCUUGAAUGUUGUCCCUGGGGCCAUUUCUUCAAAACUUGAUACAGCAGCCUACAUGGGGGAAGAGUUGGAAGUUACCAAAUCUUUCUGCUUCUCCCUCAGGCCAGAGUCAGAAAGAAUACUGAGACAGGGCUUGGUAAGUACAAAAUACACAGUUUCCCCUCUCCCUGGUAUUCCUAUUCCCAGAGAAAAGUGAGAUGAUAAGCUUCAGGCCACGAAUGAACCCUACUUUCAGCUCAUCUCCACCCAGCUUUAAUCCUCAACCUGUUUGGCCCCAAAGUGGCAAAAUUCCACUGAUUUAACCCCAAGACAGCAAUCAGAGAACGCAGAAGGAAAAAAAAGGGGGAAGACAACAAAAAAGAGGAUAAAGAGAAAAAAAUAAAGAGGAAGGACAUUUUUCAGCUUACUGGAAGCCUGAGUAACACUUUGGGAGAAGCAACAAUGAGAGGUUUCCUGAAGUUUCGGACCAUUUGCCUCCGGAGUAAAUGGAAAUACUGUGCAGGGGUGGUGGGAUGCACAACUGACAUGUUGACCUGGUCACCAUCAACACCCUCUUCUGAGCUGUCACACAUCUGUACAGGGGGAACACAGCAAUACCUUGUCAAAUGCAAGCAGUGAGACUAAUAUGCAAGAAAGAAUCCAGGCACAUGAUGCACACACAGGAACAGAUUAGUAAAUAUCCAAAUUCAAGAGAGGAACAACUUCAAAGAAAUGGGUUUAGCAUUUAACUGGUAAGAUUGUGCCUGAAGUGCCUCCUUGGAGCACGUUGCAGGCCAGCUCCCAGAGCACUGCCUGCCAGGGCUGUGCUGGGGAUGCUGACCCUGGGAGGUGUGAUGUACCUGGAGGAACCGUUCCAUCCGGCAGGACGAGUGCUCGGGGCCUGCACCAUCGUAGCCAUGGGGAAGAAGAAUUACUAUCCCACUCUGCAGAAGCCAUUUAGCCUCACCUAGAAACACAGAAUGAGGAGGAAGCAAAGGAUGAUUUCCACAGAAUGUAAAGCCACAGAACACAUUACUUUGCACAAACUGCUCAGGAAAAAGAAUAACCAAUAUCCACGUAAUUAAAUACAAGCCUGAAACAUGCUGCUGGCAUUUUGCCCUGAGGUUCUUUACAGUGAAAUAACACAUGUAAGGUGAUCUGAAGUUUCUGAAAUCAUCAGGUAGCUCUGGGCUCCCAGAAGAUUUAAGUCUCCACACAGAGCACAUGACACACUGAAAUUUUAAAGCUUCAUCUCUGCAAAUGUGAUCCCAGCAGCAUCCUGUGAGCCAGUCCUGUUUAACACAGCAGUGCUUGUUCCCCUGAGCUCUGCCAAACCUCCUGCACUAUGCAAGAGAUUACAAUCAAAUGCAGAAUUUGGGUGGGAUAAGAGGGCCUCUGAAUUUCCAUCUAUGACUACAGAGGUUUUAUAUCUGAGCACUCAGAAAACACGUUAGAAUCAAACUUAGUAAGGUGUUGUGGGCUUUUUUUGUUUGUUUCUUUUAAAUAAUUGCUAUUUUCCUUCUCUAUUGCUUAUGGAAUAUUUCAGAUGCUUCACAAAGGAAAGGUACAGCCUAUAAAGCUACCAACCAUAUAUACACAGACUAAAAUACAUGUAGGGGAAGAAAGGCUGUUAGUAUAAUUAAUUGCCCUUCUGUAGUGACUGUACUCUGCCAAGGAGUCUUUCAUUUUAGAUGUACUGUCUUUAGAGAAAAGCUGCACAGAAAUCAGGACCUCACAGGCAAGCUCACAGGACUCCUUGAGAAAACAGAAUUCUUUGCACAACAUGUUGCCCUUUUACUUGAAAGAGGAAGGAUUUUCUAAAAAUGUGUAUAAUACAAAUGAUUAAUUCUUAAAUAUAUUAGUUCCUUGUACACUUACCUCCAGAGAUAAAAGUGUCAAAUAUUAUCUGGGCUCCAUUAAAGAAGUCUCCAAACUGAGCUUCCCAAAUUGGCAGUAACUUAGGGCUCUCAAUACUCAUUCCAUAUUCAAAACCAAGCACAGCUUCUUCAGACAAGGGACUGUUACUCACCUAACAAAAGGAAAUUGUUGGGAGGGGUGGGUGAGGAAGAAGACAAUCAAGGGCUAAGAAGCAUUGGAACCAGGCAAUCAGUGCUGAGGACACACACUCCUAAAGGCAAUUGAUAGGCACUGAUUUUUUGCUUCUGAAUAAAGGCACUGAGAGAAAAGAAUAACAUUUGCUCUCUCAAGGAAAAGCAAACCCCCUUGUUAAAGUUGUAAUUUAUAAUGACAAAGAACAGGGAUGCCCUGACAAUUUUUAUGUCCCUGUAUCUGGGUUUUGCCAGAACAUACACUAGGCCUACAUAUGUCUCAGCAGCUUUAAAAAAUGCAUUGUUUCAGCACAAUUUGAGGAAGGUGGUCUUGUGGGCUACAGAACCUACCUCUAGGAAACCCUUCUGGUCUGGGGACAUGUGAUUCAGAGGAAUGUAGGUGUCAUCUGUCUCUUGGCAAACCAACAUCGCGUGCCGUUGGCUGAAGGUUCCUCUGCCAACAUCUUGUCCACUUAGUCUGAUAUUAAACCCUUGCCAAGCAAUAAACACAACACCAGAUCAGCAAGUUAUGUAAAAAGAAAACAUGCAGGACAUAAUUCUACCUCUUGUUAUAUCUCUUUCUGGAUUUCCCCUCAUCAGCAACAUCAAAUCUGAGAUGCAAUUCUGAACCAGCAACAGCUCCAACUGUCAAGGACACAGAUGCUCUGACAUUAUUUUGGGUGAAAUGGUUCAAUUUACUGAAGCAAACUGCAAAAAAAUGUGCAUUCUGUAUCAUAUGUAAAUAGAUAUUUGAAUUCAGGCUAGAGAGGAGGGAGAAGAAAUAGUAGCAUAAAGCACACAAAGUACUUGGGAGCCACACUGAUGUCAGCUGCACUGCUUGUGCUCAGCUCUAUGCACAAAUGUUUUUGGGAAGUGAGAGGAAGCUACAGUUCUUUGAAGAUAUUUAAGACUUAGUCUACAAAUAUUAGUGACACAUAGGAUUCAUAUUUAUCUUCUCUUAGACCAUGCAAAUUGUCAAAUUUAUAAAUCACAGCAAUUUUUACUUAGAAACACCUAAGAAAUCUAAUGUUUGACAUUAGAUUAUUAUUGACAUUAAAGACAAAAUUACUGACAAUAAAGCAAAAAUAUUUUACUGUCUGCUGUCUAGUUGCCUCUUACCUUGGCUCAGCAGAGAACCAAAUGCUAAAGCUUCAGCUGUUGCCCAGUCCAGCUUUUUUCCUUCCUCCAUUUUUUGAAUUCUUGACUAAGCAAAUAAAGAAGAAGAAAAAAUUACUAUUUUGUCUUUUUCCAUCUGUAGCUUUUUUGGUGGCACAGACUAAUAUUAGAAGCUAGGAAAAAAAGCAACACACUACGGAGGGAAAUGCUUUAUUCCUGCAGCCAGCUUAGGCUGCAUUAGAAUAGAGUCUUAUUUAAUAACAUCCUAAAGAAGGACCACAGAACCAUAGGUGAUCCUAUGGUGAACCAUGUGUUCACCUUCCAGUCAACAAACUGUGGAUUAAUUAAUCCUACUCAGAAAAUAUUAAAAAAUCUUAGCACAGCACAGAGUGUAAUCUUGACAGACUUCUGGUCUGUCUGGUUAGCAGUGAUGAAAGAUACCAGGUGUAAGUAUUUCAGUCUCCAGAACUCUUCCCUGUUCUGGCCUGCAGAACUGCAGACAAAUGAUCAAACUGAGCUGUGCAGUUCUUGCCUUGGGCUGGGAAGACAAAAACAUCAGUCUUUUGAAAUACUCAACUCACAGCCUCUCUCUGGCUGCCAGGCAGACACCUGCACACACUCAUCAUCCAUCAAAGGGAAACGUUCACAAACCCCAAACUGAUCCAAACCAAACAUCAACUUAGGAGCUAUCAAACCCAGACUGUCAAACUAGGCCACAUGUUGUGUAGUGUUUAUAUAUAUAUAUAUAUAUAAAAGUUAUAAAACACUCACUACUGGCUUUAGAACCUGUGUACACUAUUGACAGGUUCCUGAGUCAUUCCUUUACCAAGUACUCAUUCUAAUUACCAACUAUAUAAAUGUUAGUAACUUAUCAUAAUAGUUUCUUUCUAUUUGUAAGAAUAAUAAACUGUGGUUUUAUAAGUUUUUUUCUUCAUUGCAAUAAAAUAUUGUUGAAAUAACAAACUAAUGUACAUGGUCAGACCUGGGUGAAGAAGUCUUUCUUCAAAACUGGAGGAAAAAUGGCAUCAUCUCAGCCUUGAAGCAGAGUGAGCUGUUUUUCCUAGAGAAUACCAUGCUAUUCUCUAACUGGCAACCCUGCUGUGUUUACACUUAUUCCUGUAACAGGUUUGAGCCAUGGGGAUCUGCAGUAUCAUGAUGCUCUACUCACCUGAGCAUAGGUCUUCAGGAGAUGGCUGUGCAUCUGCAGCUCUUGGGGCACCUCCACAGACUUGGCUCCAAUGAACUGCAGCAGAGGCACAGGCAUGCCCGUGUCCCAGGUGCUGAUGGUGGCAGAAGGCUCCACGAAGCCUUUCCAGUGAGCCUGCAGGUUGGUAGGGGGUGGGCUGUACGAACUCACGUUGGCAAGGUGAUCGUUCAGCUUGGAAUAGCACGUGGUCUUUAUCUCAGACACUUCAGCCUCAGUCAU
Passer domesticus (house sparrow) is the source of this 8528-nucleotide long non-coding RNA. RefSeq lists it as uncharacterized. The record is from RefSeq and is a predicted model, not a curated record. NCBI's taxonomy places the organism in Eukaryota, Metazoa, Chordata, Aves, Passeriformes, Passeridae. The transcript is spliced from 2 exons.